UUGCUCAGGCAGGCAGUACAUAUGAAAAAUUAGAAUGGAUACAGAGAAGAUUAGCAUGGCCCCUGCGAUAGGAUUACACGCACAUUCGUGAAUCAGGCUCCUUAGAU
RNAcentral lists this small nuclear RNA (107 nucleotides) under Sander lucioperca (pikeperch). Lineage: Eukaryota; Metazoa; Chordata; Actinopteri; Perciformes; Percidae. The record is from RNAcentral.